Molecule: long non-coding RNA, 567 nt
Organism: Durio zibethinus
Lineage: Eukaryota; Viridiplantae; Streptophyta; Magnoliopsida; Malvales; Malvaceae
Source: RefSeq, a predicted model, not a curated record
GGAUCAGAAACGCUGAGAUUGUUCGUUCAGCCAAAACCCGGAAGAAAAAACAGAAAAAAGGAAAUUGAGAAUAAAAAUAAUUAUAAAAGGGUAGAAGGGGAAAGCUCCAAAAUUGAAGAGAGGUUGAAAGAAAUGUUUAGAAGAAGCAAGUUUCUCUCUUUUCCAAUGGUGAUUGGAGCAGUCAUAAUUGGAGUUGUUUCUGGGAAGGCGAUAUUUGGACCUCCUCUUGAUGAUUACUGGAAAAAGAAGCUGCAAGAGGAGGCUGCUGCGAAGCAGAACGACGGUAAGUCAACUUAGCUGAUGUCUUUAUUAAAUUUUGUCCGAUCCGGUUGUUUCCGAAAAGUGGAAAAUGGGAGUUCCGCGACCAGUUUGACUUUGAAGAUGCUUAAGCUGUGUUAAACAUUUGCUGCCUUAUCUUGAUGUUAUUCAAGCUCGGAAGUUAUGUAUGGAGGAAAAGCUGGUAUACAUCAAUGCAUUUUGUUCACAAUAGGUUAUAGGAUGUAUUUCUUCUUGAUACUGCUUUUUCUGUUAAGAUAUGAAAGAAUAAGCAACUUCUUUUGGUGAGCA